GGGGGGGCGGAGCAGACAAAGGAGGCGGGGCAGCUGGAGUUGCCAGAAAAGGGUUCUUGGAGGCAGAUGCAGCUGGAGCCGAGCCUCCAAAACCCGGAGGGGAACAAAGCAUGGAGAUGGGGCGCUGGCAAGGGCGCCGCCUAGUGCCGGAUGGUAGGUGCAGUGAGUAAACGUUCCAAGAGGCUCGACCCUGAGACCGCAGAGUCCGCAUGCCGGCCAGUGGAGGGCAGAGAGGGAGUCUUGCAGCCGCUGCAGAUGCCUCCGAAAAGGGAGGCGCUACUUGGUGAAAAUUCUGCAUUUGUGUUCAAUGACAUCAGAAGGUGUUGCAUUUUAUUCCUUCCUUGGUCAGAUAGAGAUAUGUGAGGAUGGUUCGAAAAAUUCAUGGAAAAUAUAAUUAAAAGAUAAAUUUUUUCUGGUGCAAAAUCUUUUGAAAUCCAUGUAUUGCUUUUCCAUGAUGCAUUUUCCAUGAACUUUUUGAAGAUCUCUUGUAUGCAUGGAUUUUAAUUUUUUUUCAGACCAAAUUAAGCAUUGUCCACAAAUGUUGUGAAAUGUCCUUGUAUUUUACUAUUGCCAUUAAAUAAAUAGCUUCAAACAGUUUGAAAUAUUCA
RNAcentral lists this long non-coding RNA (608 nucleotides) under Oryctolagus cuniculus (rabbit). RNAcentral's name for it is "lncRNA (ENSOCUG00000037769.1)". The record is from RNAcentral. Lineage: Eukaryota; Metazoa; Chordata; Mammalia; Lagomorpha; Leporidae.